UCAGGGAAUUGAGCGAACCAAAUCCUUGGUCGAACAGUAUAAGAAGCUGGAGGUUGAUGAUGAUGACGUUGCGGCUGAAUUGAACAUCACUUCCUCCCGACAGAACGAGGAUUGGGAAAAAUUUAGGGAACGAAUUCGUUCCUUAUGGGGUAGUUUGUAAUUAAGACACACGAUGUCUUUUCUUUUUUGUACUUUUGUCCCUUAUUAAUGAACAUUAAUUUCUUGUGCAUUUAUUUGAUGUUUAUUUUCUAAUCAUCAAUUCUUCAAGCAUUUAACUGCUUUGCGUUAAGAAUUUUGUCCAUUCCCUUUUGAUAUUCCCAUUACUGUUCCCGAUACUUAGGGCCAUUUAAUUCCGUCUAUUAGACAGAAAUGUGACUGUUCAUAUUCUGUCUCUUCAUCUUCACCCCCUUAUAAAUGUUUAGCAUUUUUCAUCCUCUAUCUUCAUCUCCUCAUUUUCUUAUUCGAAACCAAUUUGCUGCCAUUUCUUGGCAUUCUGACGAUCAAUCUGAUCCGAAAAUGGUCUGUUUAGUCCGUCCGCCUUAUAUUUACUUUGAUGCCACCUUUGGUAUGGGAGGUAUAGGAAAUGUUUUCUGGCCCGCAGCGAAGUUUUUUCCUGCAAAAUUCUUCCCAUCGUCUCUUUGUUCUUCAUAAGGAGUCAAUGAUGGAAGGCAAUUUUUGGGCUGCUCAUGGGCCAUUUUGCUUGCUGAGAGUGCUUCUCAACUUGCUUGCUGAGAGUGUUUCUCAGCCUAUUUGCUCGCUAUUGCAGCGAUGCAUUUAGGAAGGUGGUGAGGCCAGUACACCCUCUCACUCGUCAAUUCCACCACUGCAGCGAUGCAUUUAGGAAGGCAGUGUGAAGCUUACUCAGUGAUUGGCUGGGAGAUCAUCUUACUUUAGUUGUAUUUUGUAACACGCCUAUUACCUGUAUCUUUUAUAUUCUUGUAAUGAACGUUUGGUAAUAAAGAACUUUAUUU
RNAcentral lists this long non-coding RNA (971 nucleotides) under Olea europaea (common olive). RNAcentral describes it as "long non-coding RNA (OEUR_LNC002619)". Lineage: Eukaryota; Viridiplantae; Streptophyta; Magnoliopsida; Lamiales; Oleaceae. The record is from RNAcentral.